AGAGAGUUUGAGCAAGACAACGAAGUCGGACGACGACGACGUGGUUGACAAUUUUUGCCUGUCUUGCACAUUACCUUGCACAUUCUGAGUUUAGGGUCAGGGGUGAAGACAGAUUAGACAUGCAUGUCUAGCUGUUUGUGAAUGCUGACACAAAUCCUUACCCUGAUCAGGAUAAAACAGCGAGACAUGAAUCCAUAUCCCGUCUUCNNNNNNNNNNNNNNNNNNNNCAACGAAUAUUUUGGCAAAAUUCGUUGUGAACUUCGUUCUGCACGAAGGCAGAAGGACAAAGACGGUAUAUAGUUUCAUGUCUCGCUGUUUUUUUUCUGGAUCAGGGCAAGAAUUAUGGUCAGUAUUCAUAAACAGCGACACAUGGGAAGACACGUUGUGCAAACACCAGUGACGUCCAACUCAGUAUGCGCAAGAUAAUGUACAGGCGGCAAAUAUUGUCAAGUAUGCCUUCGUCUUCGUACUUCGUUUUUCUUGCUCAAACUCUCUAAUAUCAGCUUGACAACAACUUUGUUACAACUUGUUUGCAAGAUCUGCAACAACUUGUGUUUGUUGUUACAUUUGUAGACCAUUACAUUAGGCUUGGUACAUAUAAAUGAUAAACGCGAUGUUUGAACUGGCCUAGAACGUAAUAAAAGAAUGCAGGCUUUAGCAUUUUAGGUUCAAAUCGUCGAUAUGAAGCUAUUAUCGAAUAGAAUUGUCAGAUAUUGUGUAUUAUAUAAAUUAUUUAUCUCAAAGUUAAAUACGAGCACAAUUAUUAAAUAUUGUAUUAUUUAAAUAGAGAAUGUUAGCCGAAAGAGAGAAAAUAAAUUUUAACUCAGACAGUA
Molecule: long non-coding RNA, 833 nt
Filed under: Paramuricea clavata
Lineage: Eukaryota; Metazoa; Cnidaria; Anthozoa; Malacalcyonacea; Plexauridae
Source: RNAcentral